CAGGCCUAACACAUGCAAGUCGAACGAAGGCUUCGGCCUUAGUGGCGCACGGGUGCGUAACGCGUGGGAAUCUGCCCUUAGGUUCGGAAUAACAGUUAGAAAUGACUGCUAAUACCGGAUGAUGACGUAAGUCCAAAGAUUUAUCGCCUAGGGAUGAGCCCGCGUAGGAUUAGCUAGUUGGUGUGGUAAAGGCGCACCAAUGCGACGAUCCUUAUCUGGUCUGAGAGGAUGAUCAGCCACACUGGGACUGAGACACGGCCGAGACUCCUACGGGAGGCAGCAGUGGGGAAUAUUGGACAAUGGGCGCAAGCCUGAUCCAUCAAUGCCGCGUGAGUGAUGAAGGCCUUAGGGUUGUAAAGCUCUUUUACCCGGGAUGAUAAUGACAGUACCGGGAGAAUAAGCCCCGGCUAACUCCGUGCCAGCAGCCGCGGUAAU
Molecule: ribosomal RNA, 435 nt
Filed under: uncultured bacterium
Lineage: Bacteria
Description: bacterial SSU rRNA
Rfam family: Bacterial small subunit ribosomal RNA
Source: RNAcentral